GACGCGAGCAGCAGCGCCAUCCAAUCAUAGUGAAGAUCCCGCCCCCCGACCCACCCAUUGCCCACUCUCACCCUCACCCAGUCAGCCAAUCAUCGGGAACAUCCUGCCCGGAUCGACUGGAAACGGGCCGCCAAUCGUUGAGGUGUCUUCAUCCAAUUACACGGAUUAUCCGGCCAAUCACAAUUAACGCUGUUUUUUUGGUGAGUCGUUUUCUCGGACGUCACCGAAGUGGCCGGGUAGCGGUGAGCUUUAAGAAGUUUUUUUUCUUGCUCGUUUGCACUGGUGACAUGGCCUCGCCCGCUUUCCUGGACACGAGCUUGCCGGGUCAUGGGUCCGACCAGCAGUUCACCGAGGUCAUCAGCCAGCAGAUGCGGGUCCCAGAGCACCUCCGAGUCGGGCUGGGCCCUCAGGGGGAUGAGCAAACAAAGCCUGAGGACAUGACCCUCAUCUACCGGAUGCACAUCCCCAACAGGUUGUCCCUGGCAGAUGCCCCAGAUUUGAAUCCGCGACCCCUGUUCUCCACUCCAUCCGGACGCAGCUUCCCGACCCAUGCAGCCACAGCAUGGGACUCUCCCUCUUCAGAGCCCCUGAGUCCUCUGCGCAGGUCCUACAGUGAUCAAACCUUUGGCAGGAGCCCCCCUGUCACCCCCACACUGUCAAAACAGAUGCUGCAUGCCCCUUCUCUCCGUGCUGUGGGACGCUCCCCACAGAACGUUGAACCCCGUGGACCCUCCGCUAUUCCACCCAACCUCCUGUCCCCACAGAAUGUGCUCCAGGCUGUCAGAGACCUGGGUCAGUUGGCCUCCCAGCGCAUCCUCCGGACUGUCACCCAGAAGUGCGGUUCCAGGUUCAGCUAUCCUGAGAACCCGCCUUCCACCCUAGUCGAGAUGCCUGGUUCCAUGGACCCCAGCCGGAGAAGCACAGCACAGGAUUGGCUGACCGUGGAGGAGGAAGGCGGGGGAAACGUUGAGUUCUUUGUGUUGCGGAGACAGAUGAUGAAGAUGAGCCGGCGUCUUGCCACCCUGGAGAGGCAGAAUGCAGAGCACCGCCAAACGGAGCUGCUCCUCUUCUCCUUGCUGUUGUCCGCCUGUCUCAUCAAUGGCUGGCUCUGGCUGCGCAGGUUGGAUCCUUAA
Molecule: long non-coding RNA, 1133 nt
Filed under: Scleropages formosus (Asian bonytongue)
Lineage: Eukaryota; Metazoa; Chordata; Actinopteri; Osteoglossiformes; Osteoglossidae
Description: lncRNA (ENSSFOG00015009980.2)
Source: RNAcentral